AACCUUAUGGACCUGCGGGCGUAUACCUGCGGAGGGAUCAUUACAGAGUUAUACAACUCCCAUACCAUAUGUUAACUUACUCAGUUAUGCCUCGGCGUAAGCUGGGCGGAGCGGACGUGUUACCCGGUAGCUACCCUGUAGCUACCCUGUAGCCGCGGCCGACCUCCAGCCCGCCGGUGGUACACUAAACUCUUGUUUUACUGUAUCUUCUGAGCGUCUUAUUUUAAUAAGUCAAAACUU
This 240-nucleotide unclassified non-coding RNA is filed under the name soil metagenome. RNAcentral describes it as "partial contains 5.8S ribosomal RNA, internal transcribed spacer 2, and large subunit ribosomal RNA". The record is from RNAcentral.